GAUGAACGCUAGCUACAGGCUUAACACAUGCAAGUCGAGGGACCGGCGCACGGGUGAGUAACACGUAUCCAACCUUCCCUUUACUCGGGGAUAGCCUUUCGAAAGAAAGAUUAAUACCCGAUAUAAAGGAUGGGGAUGCGUUACAUUAGGUUGUUGGUGAGGUAACGGCCCACCAAGCCUUCGAUGGAUAGGGGUUCUGAGUGGAAGGUCCACCAGAUCGGAACGGAGACACGGUCCAAAAUCGGACGGGAGGCAGCAGUGAGGAAUAUUGGUCAAGGGGCGUUAGCCUGAACCAGCCAAGUAGCGUGAAGGAUGAAGGCUUAUGGGUCGUAAACUUCUUGGAUAUAAGAAUAUGUAUUAGAUGAAUAAGGACCGGCUAACUCCGUGCCAGCAGCCGCGGUAAUAC
RNAcentral lists this ribosomal RNA (406 nucleotides) under uncultured bacterium. RNAcentral describes it as "partial 16S ribosomal RNA". It matches the Rfam family "Bacterial small subunit ribosomal RNA", at positions 28 to 526 of the family's 1533-position model. The record is from RNAcentral.